AUUUUCGCACUCGCACUUGCAGUCUGGCACUAGGUGGCUCGAGAAGAACUUUCAAAUUUUAGUUUCAAUAUCUGUUACUAGAUGUCGUUCAACUUGUUGAUGAUGGAAAGUAAACAAACGACUUUUAAACGCCCGCAGCUACCGAGAGCUUUUUAAAAAAACAUUUCCUAUUUAUAUAUCUCUGACGUGCUAUUGCGUCCUUGAACUGAUUCCCGAAUACCAAGUUUGGUUCACCCUUCUUGUGACCGUAGAGCGUAAAAACGUAGUAACCCUCCCUCCAGCCUUUGUUUGUAUCCCACCAAAAAUGAACUGUGAUACAUAACGGACGAGGCGUUCAUAUCAGAUUCUUCUUGCAUCAACUUAAGAAUCAUGACGGAAAAGGCACUCGUUAGCAAAAGGGUGAAGUGCAGUAUGAAGAAGACCUGAAGUCUCCCUGGAGUUCACUUAUGGAGAUUUAAUCCAUGAUGUUAAUUGUCUGGCUGCGGGUCUCCAAACUUCAGGACUUGUCAAGCGUGGUCAUUGUGUUGCCAUGGCACAACCUAAUUCUAUUGAAUUUGUAGUUACACUGCUAGCUGUAAACCGAGUUGGGGCAUUCAUUUCACUGAUUAACCCUGUCUAUACUCCCCGAGAGCUCAAGCAUGUUUCUAGCAUAAACAAUGCUGGUUUGUGGAUUUGCACACUGGAAUUCAUUUCAUUACUUUCCCAACUUGACAAAACAGAGUACAAAACUCCCCUCGUCGAUAGUUCAAAUAAAGUGCGUUCGCAGUGGCAUUCAGUUCUCAAGUCUGGUGAGUCCAGGACGUUCCCAUCAGUCUCCGUUAAUGUCUUUGAAGACCUUGCCACUAUGCCAUUUCCAGCGAGACGAAGGGUUUGCCUAAGAGAGUCAUGCUCACCCAUCACAACCUCGUGACUGCAUUGUGCAAAUUAUAGGUGUCAGCCAUGUAAACUUCCUGGCACUGUGUUUUGUAUUCACUGUUAAAGGAAAUGCAUAGCAGUGAGAAUGAUAUGCAGCCCAGUUUUCACCUAUAUGUUCCAAUCUCCUCAAAGUUGUCGACGGGACUCAUUUUCCUCACCUUCCGAAUGGGAUAUGACGGUUUUAUUGAUAGCAAAGAUCCGAGUGAUUCGAACUGGACUGCUAGCUGUUAUUAAGAAACUUUAAAUGCAGUUGAGCAACUGUUCCAGAAUAAGAAUGUAUUCUGUGUAUCAUUUAAAUGCAAAUAGUGUAUUUCAAUACAUUUCCAACAACCUAUU
Daphnia pulex (common water flea) is the source of this 1251-nucleotide long non-coding RNA. RefSeq lists it as uncharacterized. NCBI's taxonomy places the organism in Eukaryota, Metazoa, Arthropoda, Branchiopoda, Diplostraca, Daphniidae. The transcript has 3 exons. The record is from RefSeq and is a predicted model, not a curated record.